RNAcentral lists this ribosomal RNA (540 nucleotides) under Polypedates leucomystax (Java whipping frog). Its description in RNAcentral is "partial 16S ribosomal RNA". It matches the Rfam family "Bacterial large subunit ribosomal RNA", at positions 1850 to 2610 of the family's 2925-position model. The record is from RNAcentral. Lineage: Eukaryota; Metazoa; Chordata; Amphibia; Anura; Rhacophoridae.
AGGUCCAGCCUGCCCAGUGAAUUUUAAACGGCCGCGGUAUCCUAACCGCGCGAAGGUAGCAUAAUCACUUGUUCUUUAAAUGGGGACUUGUAUCAACGGCAUCACGAGGGUUUUACUGUCUCCUCUUUUUGAUCAGUGAAAUUGAUCUUCCCGUGAAGAAGCGGGAAUAAGCUUAUAAGACGAGAAGACCCCAUGGAGCUUAAAACCAAAUAACAACUUAACCACUUAUCCCACUAUAAAUUUAAGCCCUGUUAUAAGGUUUUUGGUUGGGGUGACCGCGGAGUAAAACACAUCCUCCACGACGGAAAGAACACACUCUUUAUUUAAGAACCACAAUUCUAGAAAUUAGUAUACUAACGUUUACUGACCCGACAAUCGAUCAACGGACCAAGUUACCCUGGGGAUAACAGCGCAAUCUACUUCAAGAGCCCAUAUCGACAAGUAGGCUUACGACCUCGAUGUUGGAUCAGGGUAUCCCGGUGGUGCAGCCGCUACCGAAGGUUCGUUUGUUCAACGAUUAAAACCCUACGUGAUCUGAGU